AAAUGACUGCACUCAAAAAGAAUAUCAUAUUAGGAUAUGACACUUUCAUAGACUCAGUAUAUACAAAUGCAUAUAUUGGGCCUCGAAUGAUCAAAGCAACCGCUUCAAAAACAGCAAACGCAGCUAAUACUCGACCAUUAUAUUCGGACUGGACUCCAUUAAGAGCAAUAGAUUGUACGCAAGGAACAACCAUAUUUGAGAUGGCUUGUAUAAUAACAGCGGUGAAAAGUGCAACAUCGGAUUUGGCAACUGCUAACAAUACCGCUGCACUCAAAGCAAUAGCAUAGCCUAACUGUGCAUUCCAAACGUCUCGUUUAACUAUAGUGUAUUUCUCGUCAGCCGUUCUACCACGCAAUAUACUAGAACGUGAAUAACCAGGACGAACUAAAUAAGAGAAAACAUUUCGAAUCCCUUGUAGGGAAGAGGUAUUGUCUGCACGACUUGGAUCUUCAAAUAAUCCUUCAGAAGAAUAAAGCUUUUCGAUUAUUUUUUCGAUAACUUUAGAAAGUAAAGGGAAUAGCGCAACUAAUGUGAUUGAACUAGCAAAAGAGUCGGUGGAUAAUAUUAAGCUAGCCUUCAUUGGACCCCAGCCAAAUUUAUAGUCCGUAUAAAGCGGCAAUAAGCCCAUUGAACCAGCGCCGAGUAAAGUUAAAGAUAUCAAUAUU
Non-coding RNA from Schizosaccharomyces pombe (fission yeast), 665 nucleotides. NCBI's taxonomy places the organism in Eukaryota, Fungi, Ascomycota, Schizosaccharomycetes, Schizosaccharomycetales, Schizosaccharomycetaceae. The record is from the annotation of a GenBank genome assembly.